This 68-nucleotide transfer RNA is filed under the name Genetta genetta (small-spotted genet). RNAcentral describes it as "tRNA-Lys". It matches the Rfam family "tRNA". From Rfam's summary of the family: Transfer RNA (tRNA) molecules are approximately 80 nucleotides in length. Their secondary structure includes four short double-helical elements and three loops (D, anti-codon, and T loops). Further hydrogen bonds mediate the characteristic L-shaped molecular structure. tRNAs have two regions of fundamental functional importance: the anti-codon, which is responsible for specific mRNA codon recognition, and the 3' end, to which the tRNAs corresponding amino acid is attached (by aminoacyl-tRNA synthetases). tRNAs cope with the degeneracy of the genetic code in two manners: having more than one tRNA (with a specific anti-codon) for a particular amino acid; and 'wobble' base-pairing, i.e. permitting non-standard base-pairing at the 3rd anti-codon position. The record is from RNAcentral. Lineage: Eukaryota; Metazoa; Chordata; Mammalia; Carnivora; Viverridae.
CAUUAAGAAGCUAAACAAGCAUUAACCUUUUAAGUUAAAGACUGGAAGUUAAAAUCUUCCCUUAAUGA